UAAGCGACUAAGCGUACACGGUGGAUGCCCUGGCAGUCAGAGGCGAUGAAGGACGUGCUAAUCUGCGAUAAGCGUCGGUAAGGUGAUAUGAACCGUUAUAACCGGCGAUUUCCGAAUGGGGAAACCCAGUGUGUUUCGACACACUAUCAUUAACUGAAUCCAUAGGUUAAUGAGGCGAACCGGGGGAACUGAAACAUCUAAGUACCCCGAGGAAAAGAAAUCAACCGAGAUUCCCCCAGUAGCGGCGAGCGAACGGGGAGGAGCCCAGAGCCUGAAUCAGUGUGUGUGUUAGUGGAAGCGUCUGGAAAGGCGCGCGAUACAGGGUGACAGCCCCGUACACAAAAAUGCACAUGCUGUGAGCUCGAUGAGUAGGGCGGGACACGUGGUAUCCUGUCUGAAUAUGGGGGGACCAUCCUCCAAGGCUAAAUACUCCUGACUGACCGAUAGUGAACCAGUACCGUGAGGGAAAGGCGAAAAGAACCCCGGCGAGGGGAGUGAAAAAGAACCUGAAACCGUGUACGUACAAGCAGUGGGAGCACAGAGCAAUCUGUGUGACUGCGUACCUUUUGUAUAAUGGGUCAGCGACUUAUAUUCUGUAGCAAGGUUAACCGAAUAGGGGAGCCGAAGGGAAACCGAGUCUUAACUGGGCGUUAAGUUGCAGGGUAUAGACCCGAAACCCGGUGAUCUAGCCAUGGGCAGGUUGAAGGUUGGGUAACACUAACUGGAGGACCGAACCGACUAAUGUUGAAAAAUUAGCGGAUGACUUGUGGCUGGGGGUGAAAGGCCAAUCAAACCGGGAGAUAGCUGGUUCUCCCCGAAAGCUAUUUAGGUAGCGCCUCGUGAAUUCAUCUCCGGGGGGUAGAGCACUGUUUCGGCAAGGGGUCAUCCCGACUUACCAACCCGAUGCAAACUGCGAAUACCGGAGAAUGUUAUCACGGGAGACACACGGCGGGUGCUAACGUCCGUCGUGAAGAGGGAAACAACCCAGACCGCCAGCUAAGGUCCCAAAGUCAUGGUUAAGUGGGAAACGAUGUGGAAGGCCCAGACAGCCAGGAUGUUGGCUUAGAAGCAGCCAUCAUUUAAAGAAAGCGUAAUAGCUCACUGGUCGAGUCGGCCUGCGCGGAAGAUGUAACGGGGCUAAACCAUGCACCGAAGCUGCGGCAGCGACACUGUGUGUUGUUGGGUAGGGGAGCGUUCUGUAAGCCUGUGAAGGUGUGCUGUGAGGCAUGCUGGAGGUAUCAGAAGUGCGAAUGCUGACAUAAGUAACGAUAAAGCGGGUGAAAAGCCCGCUCGCCGGAAGACCAAGGGUUCCUGUCCAACGUUAAUCGGGGCAGGGUGAGUCGACCCCUAAGGCGAGGCCGAAAGGCGUAGUCGAUGGGAAACAGGUUAAUAUUCCUGUACUUGGUGUUACUGCGAAGGGGGGACGGAGAAGGCUAUGUUGGCCGGGCGACGGUUGUCCCGGUUUAAGCGUGUAGGCUGGUUUUCCAGGCAAAUCCGGAAAAUCAAGGCUGAGGCGUGAUGACGAGGCACUACGGUGCUGAAGCAACAAAUGCCCUGCUUCCAGGAAAAGCCUCUAAGCAUCAGGUAACAUCAAAUCGUACCCCAAACCGACACAGGUGGUCAGGUAGAGAAUACCAAGGCGCUUGAGAGAACUCGGGUGAAGGAACUAGGCAAAAUGGUGCCGUAACUUCGGGAGAAGGCACGCUGAUAUGUAGGUGAAGUCCCUCGCGGAUGGAGCUGAAAUCAGUCGAAGAUACCAGCUGGCUGCAACUGUUUAUUAAAAACACAGCACUGUGCAAACACGAAAGUGGACGUAUACGGUGUGACGCCUGCCCGGUGCCGGAAGGUUAAUUGAUGGGGUCAGCGCAAGCGAAGCUCUUGAUCGAAGCCCCGGUAAACGGCGGCCGUAACUAUAACGGUCCUAAGGUAGCGAAAUUCCUUGUCGGGUAAGUUCCGACCUGCACGAAUGGCGUAAUGAUGGCCAGGCUGUCUCCACCCGAGACUCAGUGAAAUUGAACUCGCUGUGAAGAUGCAGUGUACCCGCGGCAAGACGGAAAGACCCCGUGAACCUUUACUAUAGCUUGACACUGAACAUUGAGCCUUGAUGUGUAGGAUAGGUGGGAGGCUUUGAAGUGUGGACGCCAGUCUGCAUGGAGCCGACCUUGAAAUACCACCCUUUAAUGUUUGAUGUUCUAACGUGGACCCGUGAUCCGGGUUGCGGACAGUGUCUGGUGGGUAGUUUGACUGGGGCGGUCUCCUCCUAAAGAGUAACGGAGGAGCACGAAGGUUGGCUAAUCCUGGUCGGACAUCAGGAGGUUAGUGCAAUGGCAUAAGCCAGCUUGACUGCGAGCGUGACGGCGCGAGCAGGUGCGAAAGCAGGUCAUAGUGAUCCGGUGGUUCUGAAUGGAAGGGCCAUCGCUCAACGGAUAAAAGGUACUCCGGGGAUAACAGGCUGAUACCGCCCAAGAGUUCAUAUCGACGGCGGUGUUUGGCACCUCGAUGUCGGCUCAUCACAUCCUGGGGCUGAAGUAGGUCCCAAGGGUAUGGCUGUUCGCCAUUUAAAGUGGUACGCGAGCUGGGUUUAGAACGUCGUGAGACAGUUCGGUCCCUAUCUGCCGUGGGCGCUGGAGAACUGAGGGGGGGCUGCUCCUAGUACGAGAGGACCGGAGUGGACGCAUCACUGGUGUUCGGGUUGUCAUGCCAAUGGCACUGCCCGGUAGCUAAAUGCGGAAGAGAUAAGUGCUGAAAGCAUCUAAGCACGAAACUUGCCCCGAGAUGAGUUCUCCCUGACCCUUUAAGGGUCCUGAAGGAACGUUGAAGACGACGACGUUGAUAGGCCGGGUGUGUAAGCGCAGCGAUGCGUUGAGCUAACCGGUACUAAUGAACCGUGAGGCUUAACCU
RNAcentral lists this ribosomal RNA (2901 nucleotides) under Escherichia coli TW09109. Its description in RNAcentral is "bacterial LSU rRNA". It matches the Rfam family "Bacterial large subunit ribosomal RNA". Lineage: Bacteria; Pseudomonadati; Pseudomonadota; Gammaproteobacteria; Enterobacterales; Enterobacteriaceae. The record is from RNAcentral.